UGGGGAAUAUUGGACAAUGGGCGAAAGCCUGAUCCAGCCAUGCCGCGUGUGUGAAGAAGGUCUUCGGAUUGUAAAGCACUUUAAGUUGGGAGGAAGGGCAGUAAGUUAAUACCUUGCUGUUUUGACGUUACCAACAGAAUAAGCACCGGCUAACUUCGUGCCAGCAGCCGCGGUAAUACGAAGGGUGCAAGCGUUAAUCGGAAUUACUGGGCGUAAAGCGCGCGUAGGUGGUUUUGUAAGUUGGAGGUGAAAUCCCCGGGCUCAACCUGGGAACUGCCUCCAAAAACUGCAUGACUAGAGUACGGUAGAGGGUAGUGGAAUUUCCUGUGUAGCGGUGAAAUGCGUAGAUA
This 350-nucleotide ribosomal RNA is filed under the name uncultured bacterium. Its description in RNAcentral is "bacterial SSU rRNA". It matches the Rfam family "Bacterial small subunit ribosomal RNA", at positions 355 to 696 of the family's 1533-position model. The record is from RNAcentral.